GAUGAACGCUGGCGGCGUGCUUAACACAUGCAAGUCGAGCGGUAAGGCCCUUUCGGGGUACACGAGCGGCGAACGGGUGAGUAACACGUGGGUGACCUGCCCUCAGCUCUGGGAUAAGCCUGGGAAACCGGGUCUAAUACUGGAUAUGACUCCAUGACGCAUGUUGUGGGGUGGAAAGCCUUGUGCGGCUGAGGAUGGGCCCGCGGCCUAUCAGCUUGGGUGGGUGAUGGCCUACCAAGCGACGACGGUAGCCGGCCUGAGAGGGCGACCGGCCACACUGGGACUGAGACACGGCCCAGACUCCUACGGGAGGCAGCAGUGGGGAAUCUUGCGCAAUGGGCGAAAGCCUGACGCAGCGACGCCGCGUGAGGGAUGACGGCCUGG
This 384-nucleotide ribosomal RNA is filed under the name uncultured bacterium. RNAcentral describes it as "bacterial SSU rRNA". It matches the Rfam family "Bacterial small subunit ribosomal RNA", at positions 28 to 419 of the family's 1533-position model. The record is from RNAcentral.